UGGGGAAUAUUGGACAAUGGGCGAAAGCCUGAUCCAGCCAUGCCGCGUGUGUGAAGAAGGUCUUCGGAUUGUAAAGCACUUUAAGUUGGGAGGAAGGGCAGUAAGCGAAUACCUUGCUGUUUUGACGUUACCGACAGAAUAAGCACCGGCUAACUCUGUGCCAGCAGCCGCGGUAAUACAGAGGGUGCAAGCGUUAAUCGGAAUUACUGGGCGUAAAGCGCGCGUAGGUGGUUCGUUAAGUUGAAUGUGGAAGCCCCGGGCUGAACCUGGGGACUGCAUCCAAAACUGGCGAGCUAGAGUAGGGCAGAGGGUGGUGGAAGUUCCUGUGUAGCAGUGAAAUGCGUAGAUAUAGGAAGGAACACCAGUGGCGAAGGCGACCACCUGGGCUCAUACUGACAAUGAGGAGCGAAAGCGUAGGGAGCAAACAGG
This 429-nucleotide ribosomal RNA is filed under the name Pseudomonadota bacterium. RNAcentral describes it as "Proteobacteria bacterium partial 16S ribosomal RNA". It matches the Rfam family "Bacterial small subunit ribosomal RNA", at positions 355 to 776 of the family's 1533-position model. The record is from RNAcentral. Lineage: Bacteria; Pseudomonadati; Pseudomonadota.